CUACGGUGAACACGUUCCCGGACCUUGUACACACCGCCCGUCAAGCCAUGGAAGCUGGGUGUACCUAAAGUCGAUAACCGUAAGGAGUCGCCUAGGGUAAAACUAGUAACUGGGGCU
RNAcentral lists this ribosomal RNA (117 nucleotides) under uncultured bacterium. RNAcentral's name for it is "partial 16S ribosomal RNA". It matches the Rfam family "Bacterial small subunit ribosomal RNA", at positions 1357 to 1482 of the family's 1533-position model. The record is from RNAcentral.